RNAcentral lists this transfer RNA (70 nucleotides) under Sphenodon punctatus (tuatara). RNAcentral's name for it is "tRNA-Phe". Lineage: Eukaryota; Metazoa; Chordata; Lepidosauria; Sphenodontia; Sphenodontidae. The record is from RNAcentral.
GUCAUCGUAGCUUAAAAUAUUAAAGCCUGGCCUUGAAGAUGCCAUUAUAGGACUUGAUGCCUCAAUGACA